This 74-nucleotide transfer RNA is filed under the name Eubacteriales bacterium. Its description in RNAcentral is "tRNA-Ile". It matches the Rfam family "tRNA". Rfam says of the family: Transfer RNA (tRNA) molecules are approximately 80 nucleotides in length. Their secondary structure includes four short double-helical elements and three loops (D, anti-codon, and T loops). Lineage: Bacteria; Bacillati; Bacillota; Clostridia; Eubacteriales. The record is from RNAcentral.
GGAAGCUUAGCUCAGCUGGUUAGAGCAAUCGGCUCAUAACCGAUCGGUCCCGGGUUCGAGUCCCCGAGCUUCCA